Non-coding RNA from Salmo salar (Atlantic salmon), 54 nucleotides. The record is from Rfam. Lineage: Eukaryota; Metazoa; Chordata; Actinopteri; Salmoniformes; Salmonidae.
UGUAUUCACUCCUUUAAGUCGCUCUGGAUAAGAGCAUCUGCUAAAUGACUAAAA